Molecule: ribosomal RNA, 465 nt
Filed under: uncultured bacterium
Lineage: Bacteria
Description: partial 16S ribosomal RNA
Rfam family: Bacterial small subunit ribosomal RNA
Source: RNAcentral
CCUACGGGCGGCUGCAGUGAGGAAUAUUGGUCAAUGGGCGCGAGCCUGAACCAGCCAAGUAGCGUGAGGGAUGAAGGUCUUCGGAUCGUAAACCUCUGUCAGCAGGGAAGAACGGUCACUGUGCUAAUCAGCAGUGAAUUGACGGUACCUGCAAAGGAAGCACCGGCUAACUCCGUGCCAGCAGCCGCGGUAAUACGGAGGGUGCGAGCGUUAAUCGGAAUUACUGGGCGUAAAGCGCUCGUAGGCGGUAUGUCAAGUCAAGGGUGAAAUCCCCGCGCUCAACGUGGGAACUGCCUUUGAAACUGGCAAACUGGAGUGUGUGAGAGGAUAGUGGAAUUCCAGGUGUAGGAGUGAAAUCCGUAGAUAUCUGGAGGAACAUCAGUGGCGAAGGCGACUAUCUGGCACAUAACUGACGCUGAGGCACGAAGGCCAGGGGAGCGAAAGGGAUUAGAUACCCGAGUAGUC